Molecule: long non-coding RNA, 1358 nt
Filed under: Chloebia gouldiae (Gouldian finch)
Lineage: Eukaryota; Metazoa; Chordata; Aves; Passeriformes; Passeridae
Description: Erythrura gouldiae (Gouldian finch) lncRNA (ENSEGOG00005008506.1)
Source: RNAcentral
UCCAUUAAGUCCAACCAUCUACUCAGCACCACCACCAUGCUCACCACUAACAUAUGUUCUCAGGUGCCACAUCCAAAAAGUUUUUGACCACCUCCAGAGAUGGAGACUCCACCUCUGCCCUGGACAGCCUGUGCCAGGGCCUGACAACCCCUUCUGUGAAGCAAUGUCUUGAAGACAAGAAGAACAGAACUGCAUGCCAUCUGUAUCCUGAGCGCAGAACGACUCCUGUGACCAUGCAGCAUCCAGCAAAGAGUUAUGAGCAUUUUCUGUUGCAGCACAAGUAUCUCUGCCUUUGACUGGAGCUCCUUGACAGCUUACAGGACUCCUUCCUCCUCCAAACAUCCCAUUCUAUGCUUGGCAGUAAUUUGGUGCUUGCCCUGAGAAGUAUAUCCUUUGGUUUAAGACAAAUAUCUAAUGCAUAUUUUCCUUUUAUUUUAUUUCUUGUUAUAACUCCACUUUGUGAUCUUCAUGGCAAAAGAGUAAGUAGGUCAUUAGUAGAUACAUCAAAUUAGCCUGGAGAAAUUAGCCUGGGGAAAAGGAGGCUCAGGGAGGACCUUGUGGUUCUCCACAACUCCAUGACAGGAGAGUGCAGCCAGGUGGGGGUCAGGCUGUGCUCUCAGGGAACAAGGGACAGGAGGAGAUAAACAGCUUCAACUUGUUCCAGGGGAGGUUCAUGUUGAAUAUUAGGGGGAAAUUCUGCCUAGAAAGGGUUGUGAAGCUCUGACACAGGCUGCCCAAUGCAUUGGUGGAGUCACUGUCCCUGGAAAUGUCUGAAAAAUACGUAAAUGUGGUACUUAGGGAAACAGACUUGAUGAUCUUAAAAGUCUUUUUUCAACCUAAACAAUUCUGUGAUUCUAGGAAAUGCUAAUGACAGAGUGGGUUGGAGAUGUUACAGCACCAUGUGUACUGAUGAUCAGCCUAGGCAGUAUUCUACUCUCCCAAAGCUUCACAAACUGACAACUUUUUCUUCAAGAUGUCAGUUCUUGAAGAAAAAAAUUGACUCCUUUAUCAGAGCUCCUGACCUGGACCCAGUGCAGAUAAGCCUCAUGCUUUCAGAAAGAGAACAAAACAUUGAUGUAUCCUUAUAGACAAAAAGCUGCUGAUGAAUUUAUUCAUCCUUGAUGCCAAAGCAGACAUAGUCUUAUGAAACUGAUCAAAAACAUUCUAUGAGCUCCAUUGUCUGCUGAAGUGCUCUCAGUACAUAGAUUAAAAGAGCAAAUCAAAGCAACUCCCUAGUUAAGCAAACUCCGAAUCAGCCCAUUACUUCAAAACCACAAGUCUGAACAAAAGGUCUGUUUUUUUCCUUGGAAAGCAUUAGCAAUGUAUGUCUGUAAUAAAUCACAUGAGAUGUAAAGACA